UACGAAGGGGGCGAGCGUUGUUCGGAUUUACUGGGCGUAAAGGGCGCGCAGGCGGCUUUGUUUGUCAGGCGUGAAAGCCCCGGGCUUAACCUGGGAAUGGCAUUGGAAACUGGCGGGCUUGAGUGCGGCAGAGGGGGGUGGAAUUCCGCGUGUAGCAGUGAAAUGCGUAGAGAUGCGGAGGAACACCGAUGGCGAAGGCAGCCCCCUGGGUCGACACUGACGCUCAGGCACGAAAGCGUGGGGAGCAAACAGG
This 253-nucleotide ribosomal RNA is filed under the name uncultured bacterium. RNAcentral describes it as "partial 16S ribosomal RNA". It matches the Rfam family "Bacterial small subunit ribosomal RNA", at positions 524 to 776 of the family's 1533-position model. The record is from RNAcentral.